GUACACGCUGUGACUAGCAUAUCAAUAAGCGGAGGAAAAGAAACUAACAAGGAUUCCCCUAGUAACGGCGAGUGAAGCGGGAAGAGCUCAAAUUUGAAAUCUUAAAGGGUUUCCCUUUACGAAUUGUAGUUUAAAGAAGUGUUUUCUGUUGAGGUUUUGGUAAAAGUUCUUUGGAAUAGGACAUCAUAGAGGGUGAGAAUCCCGUAUUUGACCUUUACUUUCAACUUUGUGAUACACUUUCAAAGAGUCGGAUUGUUUGGGAAUGCAGUCCAAAAUGGGUGGUAAAUUUCAUCUAAAGCUAAAUAUUGGCGAGAGACCGAUAGCGAACAAGUACCGUGAGGGAAAGAUGAAAAGAACUUUGAAAAGAGAGUUAAACAGUACGUGAAAUUGUCAAAAGGGAAGCGUUUGACACCAGUGUUGUUUUUCUGGAAAUCAAUUAAAGAACUGUUUAUGCUAAGUUGUUUAGACUUUAUCAGCUAACUGUUUAGUUUUGAGCUUUUCUUUAAUGCACUUUUCAGUUAACAAGUCAACAUCAAUUUCUUUUGCUGUAAAAAAGCUUGAGGAAGGUGGCUUGAGAUUCGUCUUAAGUGUUUAUAGCCUCUUGCCUAUGCAGUCGGAGAGAUUGAGGUCUGCAGCGUAGAUCCUUCGGGGCUAAAUGCAUUUGUGCUAAGUUAUAGCAUUUUAUAGACAACUUGUUGACUAUGAUUUGUCUUGUAGCUUACUCGCUUAUGUUAUUUUACCUACGCUUAGGAUGUUGAAGAUGUAGCACAUCAU
This 774-nucleotide ribosomal RNA is filed under the name uncultured Neocallimastigales. RNAcentral's name for it is "partial large subunit ribosomal RNA". It matches the Rfam family "Eukaryotic large subunit ribosomal RNA", at positions 22 to 635 of the family's 3401-position model. The record is from RNAcentral. Lineage: Eukaryota; Fungi; Neocallimastigomycota; Neocallimastigomycetes; Neocallimastigales.